AAAAGAAGACUUGCUUGGCUUAAUAAUGCAAAGCAAAAGUGUUCACAUGACUUAAUUAAACCAAGGAUCUGUUCUUACCAUUUUCAUGGAGGUAAACCAUGUGAUGAUGUAUACGAAGAAACUCAUCCAGACUGGGCUCCUACUAUAUUUAAAUUUAUGAGCCACAGUGCAACAAAUGUCUCUCGUUACAACAGAGUUAAAAAGAGACUUGCUGUAAAUG
Molecule: long non-coding RNA, 220 nt
Organism: Daphnia magna
Lineage: Eukaryota; Metazoa; Arthropoda; Branchiopoda; Diplostraca; Daphniidae
Exons: 2
Source: RefSeq, a predicted model, not a curated record